This 523-nucleotide ribosomal RNA is filed under the name soil bacterium Cycl-S2T-M1LLLSSL-1. RNAcentral's name for it is "bacterial SSU rRNA". It matches the Rfam family "Bacterial small subunit ribosomal RNA", at positions 94 to 613 of the family's 1533-position model. The record is from RNAcentral.
AGCGGCGGACGGGUGAGUAAUGUCUGGGAAACUGCCUGAUGGAGGGGGAUAACUACUGGAAACGGUAGCUAAUACCGCAUAACGUCUACGGACCAAAGUGGGGGACCUUCGGGCCUCAUGCCAUCAGAUGUGCCCAGAUGGGAUUAGCUAGUAGGUGGGGUAAUGGCUCACCUAGGCGACGAUCCCUAGCUGGUCUGAGAGGAUGACCAGCCACACUGGAACUGAGACACGGUCCAGACUCCUACGGGAGGCAGCAGUGGGGAAUAUUGCACAAUGGGCGCAAGCCUGAUGCACCCAUGCCGCGUGUGUGAAGAAGGCCUUCGGGUUGUAAAGCACUUUCAGCGAGGAGGAAGGGUUCAGUGUUAAUAGCACUGUGCAUUGACGUUACUCGCAGAAAAAACACCGGCUAACUCCGUGCCAGCAGCCGCGGUAAUACGGAGGGUGCAAGCGUUAAUCGGAAUUACUGGGCGUAAAGCGCACGCAGGCGGUUUGUUAAGUCAGAUGUGAAAUCCCCGCGCUUAAC